GGGAAUAGAUGGGUGCUGGUGUGCCCCCUGGUCUUCAAAACCUGUGUCGGCGGUUAGAAGCCGCCCGGGUGGGUUCGAUUCCCACAUAUUCCCGCCA
Molecule: transfer RNA, 97 nt
Filed under: Clostridiales bacterium
Lineage: Bacteria; Bacillati; Bacillota; Clostridia; Eubacteriales
Description: tRNA-Sec
Rfam family: Selenocysteine transfer RNA
Source: RNAcentral